UAUUUCAUUCCCUGCCAAGAUUAUAUCUGCUUUGAGGAUUCAUAAAAGACUUGAGAGUUUAUUAAUCCUCUGCUUUUAAUUAACGUUUUGUUUGUUUUAGUUUUUUGUUUGUUUUUGAGACAGGGUCUUGCUUUUUUACCCAGGCUGGAGUGCAAUGGCUCAAUCACAGCUCACUGUUACCUCAAAUUCCUGAUCUCAAGGGAUCCUCCUGCCUCAGCCUCCUAAGUGACUGGAACUACAGGAUAAUUUCAUCAGUCUCCAACCCUUGUGAUCACGUCCCAAAAUGACUCGUCAGGUGAAGCCCCGGCAGAAGAUUGCUUGUCACCUGUAGGAAGUAGCUGUCUGCUCUGAGUACUCUUUCCUCAUAAAGGAAGAAGAAAUAUGCAUCUGGGUUCAUUUUUGAAGGUUACUAUGGAAAACAUCCAUUUAAGUACAUUUAAGAAUUUUUUUUAAUUAAAAAAAUUUCACAUUUGAGGAAAUGGACUUAAAGAUGGUGGGUAAUUUGCCAAAAGUCACAUAGCUCGUCAGGUUUGCCUUCUUCUUUCAUGAGGACUGUUGAUGUUUUAUUGAAACCCAAUCAGUCUUUAUGGUGUUCCUAUGUGUUAAGCCUGAGCUCCAGGAAUUCUCACUAAUUUGUGAGGAAAUGUUUACACCAAUGGCUGGCUGAACUUUGUUGUUAUGACUCAUUUCCCAUUGGUGAAGAUACAAUUUAUUUAUCCUGUUGGAAUUGGAUGUGUCUAUCUUAUGCAUAUCCCAGAUUUGUUUCUGAGAGGCACACAACACAUUUGAUUUCACAGUUUCACAGCUAGAGAGGAAUUUGCCUCAGAAUAAAUUGUAUCUUGAAUCUCACCAAAAUCUGAUUUAGAUAAUAUUUAGAUAAGACUUUGUACUUUAGAUUUUUGAGUUGAUGCUGGAACAGGCGAAGACUUUUGGGGCUGUUUGGAUAGAAGGAAUGUAUUUUGCAUGUGAGAAGUACAUAAAUUUGGGGAUAUCAGGGGUGGAAUGCUAUAGACUGAAUGUUUGUGUCCUCCCAAAAUUCAUAUGUUGAAAUCCUAGCCCCCAGUCUGAGGAUACUAGGAGGUAGGGCCUCUGGGAGGUACAUCAUGAGAAUAGAGCCCUCAUGAAUAGUAUUAAUAUUCUUAUAAAAGAGACUCCAGAAAAUUUCAUGAUCCCUUCUGCCAUGUGAGGACUCAAUGAGGUGACUUCUAUCUAUGAACUUGGAAUCAGGCACUCACCAGACACUGAAUCUGCUGGCACCUUGACCUUGGACUUUCCAGCCUCCAGAACUUUGGGAAAUAAAUUUCUGUUAUUUAUAAGCCACCCAGUCUUUGCUAUUCUUUU
RNAcentral lists this long non-coding RNA (1341 nucleotides) under Homo sapiens (human). Its description in RNAcentral is "HSALNT0119616". Lineage: Eukaryota; Metazoa; Chordata; Mammalia; Primates; Hominidae. The record is from RNAcentral.